Mizuhopecten yessoensis (Yesso scallop) is the source of this 105-nucleotide long non-coding RNA. RefSeq lists it as uncharacterized. NCBI's taxonomy places the organism in Eukaryota, Metazoa, Mollusca, Bivalvia, Pectinida, Pectinidae. The record is from RefSeq and is a predicted model, not a curated record. The transcript has 3 exons.
CGGCGACAAGAUGGCGAAUAAACCGUCAACUUCUUCCGUGCUGCCUUUGAAAAGGAAAGCUACAUCAGAAAUGGAAAAGCCACUUCCCUCCGGGAAGUCUGUUAA